CAGAUUAGAGCUUGUUAAAGUAUUUCAUUUACAUUGAAAAGAUAUUAUUAAUUUAAUUAAUUUGA
RNAcentral lists this transfer RNA (65 nucleotides) under Andraca theae. Its description in RNAcentral is "tRNA-Val". The record is from RNAcentral. Lineage: Eukaryota; Metazoa; Arthropoda; Insecta; Lepidoptera; Endromidae. RNAcentral also lists the same sequence under 1 other name.